RNAcentral lists this ribosomal RNA (497 nucleotides) under uncultured bacterium. Its description in RNAcentral is "partial 16S ribosomal RNA". It matches the Rfam family "Bacterial small subunit ribosomal RNA", at positions 28 to 507 of the family's 1533-position model. The record is from RNAcentral.
GAUGAACGCUGGCGGCGUGCCUAAUACAUGCAAGUCGAGCGAACGGACGAGAAGCUUGCUUCUCUGAUGUUAGCGGCGGACGGGUGAGUAACACGUGGAUAACCUACCUAUAAGACUGGGAUAACUUCGGGAAACCGGAGCUAAUACCGGAUAAUAUUUUGAACCGCAUGGUUCAAAAGUGAAAGACGGUCUUGCUGUCACUUAUAGAUGGAUCCGCGCUGCAUUAGCUAGUUGGUAAGGUAACGGCUUACCAAGGCAACGAUGCAUAGCCGACCUGAGAGGGUGAUCGGCCACACUGGAACUGAGACACGGUCCAGACUCCUACGGGAGGCAGCAGUAGGGAACCUUCCGCAAUGGGCGAAAGCCUGACGGAGCAACGCCGCGUGAGUGAUGAAGGUCUUCGGAUCGUAAAACUCUGUUAUUAGGGAAGAACAUGUGUGUAAGUAACUGUGCACAUCUUGACGGUACCUAAUCAGAAAGCCACGGCUAACUACGUG